Molecule: ribosomal RNA, 371 nt
Filed under: uncultured soil bacterium
Lineage: Bacteria
Description: bacterial SSU rRNA
Rfam family: Bacterial small subunit ribosomal RNA
Source: RNAcentral
AGAUUGAACGCUAGCGGGAUGCUUUACACAUGCAAGUCGAACGGCAGCGCGGACUUCGGUCUGGCGGCGAGUGGCGAACGGGUGAGUAAUAUAUCGGAACGUGCCCAGUAGCGGGGGAUAACUACGCGAAAGCGUGGCUAAUACCGCAUACGCCCUACGGGGGAAAGGGGGGAUUCGUUCGGAACCUCUCACUAUUGGAGCGGCCGAUAUCAGAUUAGCUAGUUGGUGAGGUAAAGGCUCACCAAGGCGACGAUCUGUAGCUGGUUUGAGAGGACGACCAGCCACACUGGGACUGAGACACGGCCCAGACUCCUACGGGAGCAGCAGUGGGAAUUUGGACUAAUGGGGGAAACCUGGAUCCAGCCAUCCCG